RNAcentral lists this long non-coding RNA (5948 nucleotides) under Homo sapiens (human). RNAcentral describes it as "HSALNT0350476". The record is from RNAcentral. Lineage: Eukaryota; Metazoa; Chordata; Mammalia; Primates; Hominidae.
GGAGAAGGAGUGAUUUCCCCCAAACCUCUUAGUACCAAGGCCUAAACUGACCUACGUGUGCUACCAGACCUCUCUUCCUUCCUGGGACAUUAAGUGUCUUAAUCUCACUCUCCAUGAAGCACCUGCUCUGUGCAUACUCAGCAAGUCCUGGGCAAGUCCUAAGUAAGCCACAGAAAGGGAGGGGAAGCACGGUGAGGCCAGGGGCUCCCCAGGGUCACAGCGCCCUGGUCCGGCCCCACAUGCACCAGGGCACUGCAUUCCCCCUGGGUGCCGUGUCCUUCCCACAGCCUAGGUCAUUGUACAGACAUGUGUGCUCCGUGUGGCGCCACCUUUCGAUCCGGUGGGUGGCCCUUGGGAGCCUCUCUAAAUCUCCUGGCAUGUGGCAGAGGCACAGGGAUGCACAGCCCCUCCUCUGCCAGGAAGCUCCAGCACCUACACAGAGGGGAGGGCUCUGAGGCCAGGCUCUGCUCCCAUCUCAGGAGACAGUUCCCAGACUACUGACAAAAGCUCAUUUGGCGUGUCUUCUCCGGGAGAAAACACCACAGGAAUUGGCUGCAUUUUAUGCAAAGUGGCAGAAGCCAGGAAGGCUACGGACUUUGCAGCCCCUCUCAGCUCUCGCUCAGGUGGGUCCUAGCAUGGUGCCUGAUGCACUAACCCCACAGGCGCGGUCCCUGUCUCCCCAGGACUCAGUGAGCAGGCCUGAGCCCCAGGAAGCCCAGGACUUGCAGAGACGGAAAGGGCCAAAGGACAGAGACCUGCCCGCUGCCCAGCUGCAGCACAGGGAGGAGGCACGGAGGGCCCAAAGAAGGGGUGCGCCUGGCCCCUACAUGCUCUCCAGGCUGCCGGGGAGCACCUCUUUCCCCUGGCAGGACACUGCUUCCUCUGCUGGGGAUGCUGCCCCAGGCCUGUGGUGAAAUCCAGAGCGUGGAACCUUGAGCACUGUAACAGGUCAGGCUCGGGACCCGGGACUUGCGGGGUGAGGCCCUUUCUACUCGCAGAUGGUGUGAGGUGCAGUACUACCCAGCAGGAGCACUGUUGCCCCUUGCCAGGCAUGGCUCAGCAGGCGUUCCCUGAAGGGGCCUCCACUUCCCAUCCAGAAUCGCUGUUCCCGCCUCUGAGAAAGGCUGAGAUGCUCAACACGUCAACGUGGGGAAGGCAGGGACAACCCCGAACAUCACCCCACUCAUCCCCACUGGCUGUGUCUGCAGCCUUGGCUUGAAGCUGCAGCUAAAAAUAGAUCUGCCACUGAGGGGCACGGGAGGGGAUAUGGAGCGGGCAAGGAGCAGCAUUCACACCGGGCAGGCUGGAAAACAGAGUGCAGGUCUGAGGCUCUAGCUGACAUCACCCAGGAUGGCCAGAAAGCCCCACAGUUCCCAGCCAGGACUGGGACCAGAGAGCAUCAAGGUGCUGGGGACAGCACCGCCCACCAGUGGGACCAAUGCCUCCCUGCCCUGCUAAGCACCCAACAUUCUGGCCCAGCUCCAUCAGGCCACCACAAAGCCCCCCUCCCUCUCCUGCAGCCCGAGGCUAGUUCAAGGAGCCAUUUAUUCAGCUGGCGCCCAGGACUCUUUCCUGUGCUGUCCUUGGAUGAGGCAUCCAAGAAAAACAAGAGAUUCCAUUCACUGGUACAGUAAGUCCCAGCUGAUCCACGUCCAAAUAGCCCAUUCAAUUACUCUUAUCUCUACCAACAACAUAUGUUUUCUCUUUCCACGUCCGUCCUUCAAUGUGAGGGUUUGGAAAGGCUGCAAAAUUCGGGGAUAUAAAAAUUCCUGCAAGAUGAAGGCGCCAGGGGUUAAAUUUGUUUUUAAUCUUAGAAGGAAACAAUGGAAAACUGUAGAAAGACUGAAAUCUCCAUCACUUAUUUUUAGCACGUCAUAUCUUUUGAAAUUCAUUUUCUCAUUUAAGGGAUGGAAUACAUCUGGGACACUGUGACAUAGGCCUCGUCCUGUGGAUGGCACCAGGCAGAUGCUGAUUCAAACGUCCACUCUGUGACUUCCUGGCUAGGGGACUGCAGAGCCCUAGCUUCCAUCUCUGUAAAUGACAGUAGCAUACCUGCUCCACAGGCCUGCCGGGAGCAAUGGACAGCGUCUGUAGAGCAGACAGCAGCAUGCCGACCGCCAGCAAGCCCUGCAGGGCUGUGGGCACUACCGCCCUUCCCAGGGUCAUUGUCCUGAUCCUAGAGGUGAAGAAGUCUCAGCAAAAGAAAAGCGCUUGGACCCAGACUGGCUCAUCUGCUGGGAACAAAGGUGUUUAAUGCCAGCAGUUAUUCACCUGCACCGAUGUGGACACAUCCCAGUCGAAAGCAUCCUAAGAUGAGGAGAAUAAAUAUCACCAGGUCCAAGGGUGACGCCAUGAGCUCCGCAGGAACCAUGUCUGAACAUUGCCCGGAAGCUCACGUGAAACUUUGGAACUAAGAAUCCCACAGAGACCUGGGCUUGAUUCACAUCUGCACUCAUUAGCACCGGUUCAAGCCAGCGGUCUACAUUCUCUUGAUUUUGCUGUGAUUAGGUGGCGGCAGAGGAAAAACUCAAGGAGGCCCAGCAAAAGAAGCCAUCAUCACAACUAAGGCUGUCCCCAUGGGGUCUGAAGAAAGCAUUUCAGAAGGCUGCUCUCAGGGCAAGAGCCACAGGCAUCUCUAUAGACAGAGGUGGCUCUCCCACAGCAGAAGGAAUCAGGUCCCAUGUCCAUGCGUUCUGGUCUGGCAGAAGACAGACUUUCUCCUCAACACGCCUGAGGACUCCUUGAGGAGACGGACUGUUUCUCUCUGAUUCAUUCAUUCACAAAACAAGUAUUUGUUGAAGGCUUACUAUAGACCACUCAUUCAACAAGCAUUUACUUUGUACCCACUCUGUGUUGUGAGUUCAUAGAGGGGGUGAAACAGACACAGAUCAUCAAAGGGGAGUGAGAAAGAGCCACCCCUGGGAUGGGAGCAGAGAGAGGAGAAAGCAAAAGGAGCGUGCUGCAGUGGAAUACGUGGUUGGAAGUCAGCAGACCAAGGCUUGAAAUCCAGAUGGAGGCCACUAGCUCAUCAUUAUGAUUUUGGGAAAUAUAAAUAUAUUGGGAAAAACGUGAAUUUUGAAACCACAGUAACUGUGUUCUGGUCCUUGCUUUGCAGACUGAAUGACAACCUCACAUACGCUUUGUUCUCUCCCCUAAAGCGUAGUAAUAACACUACCUACUCUGGAGAUUGUUGUAAAGUCUGUAUUAUUAACUUCUUCAUCAAAUAUUUAUUGCGCAUGUAAUAGAUGCUCUAAGGACAGUUCUAAGCUCUGAGAAUACACUGACAACAAAUCCGUCCUGCAUGGAGCUUAUAUUCUAAUGAGGGUAGAGAGACAAACAAGAAACAAAUCUGUGAUAUGACUAAAUAUCAGAGUAUUAUAACAAUUGUGCAGAAAAAUUAAGCAACUCAGACCUUGGAAGGAAGGAGUGGUAGGUCAGACAGAAGAUGUAGAAGGAAAGUUUAAAAAGAAAGAGGAAGAAAAUUAUCACACAGAACAAAACCAAGAAAAAGCAGAUCACAAAAGUAUAUAGAAAAAUUACAAACACAAAAAGCCAACAGAAUGUAUGACAUAACCAAGACCAAACAUUUAUACCACAGCAAUGCAUAUAAAUGGCCUAAACUCACUUAUGAAUUAAAAAGACUUUGAAGUUGGAUCAGAAAGCAAAACUCAAUGCUUCAUCCAAGAGAACCACAUAAAAAUGUGAUUCUCAAAGGUUUAAAUUCAAAUGAUAGGCAAAAGUAUACCAGCCAAACAAAAAGAAGGCAGGGGUGGUAGUUAUAAUAUCAAAGAGGGAUGAAAUAAGGGCAAAAAACAUGAAAGGAGACAGAGAAGGGCAUCUUAAAUAAUAAAGGGGACAGCCAAAGGACAACAGUUAUGAGCAUCUGUGUGCCACAGGCCAUCAGCAUUCACACUGCAGGUAUCAUGGGACACACACAUGUCACAUCAAUACAAGAUCACUCAUGGUGCAAUGGACCCACAUGAGCAUUAGUUGUGAUUCACCUCUCAAACCCCAUGGUAGAUCAAAUAAGAAAGGAUCUUAAAGAACUACCCCGUAUCAUUAAUAAAGUAGAGCUAAUUGAUACAUUUUCAACUCAAUACACUUAAAACAAGGAACAUAACUUGUUUAAAAAUGUCCAUGGCAUAGUUACAAAAAUCUUAGCACAAAGAAAACUUGGUAAAUUGUAAGUGGUAAAAAUAGUAUUGAACUGAUAAUACCAUUAUAUUAGAAAGCAAUAACAAAAGAAGAAAACAAAACAAAGUAAUUACCAUAGGAAGUUUUUUUAAAAACUAUCUUUUAACUCUCGGGACAGAAGUGAAAUAUAAAUUAAUUGCAGAAUGCCUAAAACAUAUCAAACAUUAAAACAUUAAAUUCUAGAACAUGGAAAAGAGUAGAAACAGGGACCACCGGAAAAUUCAUAUCCUUAAAUAACUGUAUUUAUAAUAGGAAAUUUUAAAUGAAUUAAAUAUGCAACCCACAGGUAGAUAUUUAGAAAGGCAAAAAGGCAUUGAGGGAGGACUAUCUAUAGCAGAUAUUAAAAUAUACUGUACUGUAAAGCUAGAACGACUACAAGGGUGGUGCUCACUCCUGGGUACACGGACAGAAGAGAGUCCAACAAUUUCCCUAAAUAUAUGAGAAAAGUGAUUGGGAAAAGAUAGAUUAUUGAUUAAAUGACUUGGGGCCAAUUAGGUGGCUUUUUAGAAAAACAAAGGGAGGACCCAUGCCGCACUCACCUUAGUAUAUUCCAGAUAAAUAAAAGGUUUGAAUAUUAAAGCAAAUGAGACCAUGAACGUACCAGGAGAAAACAUGGGAGAAUGUUUUAAAAAUGUAAUCCAAAUGAAGCAGGUCUUUUAAAGCAUGGUUCCAACACAGAAGAUAUUUUUUAAGAGAUUGCUCCAUUUGAAAGGAAUAUCAUACAGUGCGACUCACUCUGGUGAGGAAUGACAUAUUUCACGAGGAUAUUUGUUGCCAUCAUGCUUAUAACAGCAAAACAUUAGAAACAACCUACGUCCAUCAAAAGGUACAGAGUAAAUAAAGGAGGAUGCAUCUGAUGCAUAGGUUCAAAAGAAUGCACCAGCUCCACAGGAUGGAGAUGGAAACAUACCCGAGAUCUACCAUUAAGUGAAAAAAUAAAAAUAAACAAACAUGGUAGAACAGCUGUCACAGGACACCAUUAAGGAAAAGAAAUUUACAGACUAUGUCUGCAGACACAACCAGAAAUGGGACAACAGCAGCCCAUGGGGAGAGGAUCAGGGUUAAGGAGAAGGAGACUUGUACAUCCUUUCUUACCUCCUAAAUUCUGAAGUAUGUUUGUGCAUAUUUUUUCUUUGCAACAUAAAUAAAGCAAAUAAACACUUAGUGCACUGGCUUGCAGGGGCUACCAUGCAGUGGGAGAAAGGCUUUCCACUGAUAUUCUGAGGCUUUCCCUUGGAAGUGGGGAGUGGGGCAGUGCUGGGAGGCGGGCCGUCUCUCUUCGCUCCCACACUUACUCGCUGGUGGUCAUGAAAUCAGCUUUAUGAUUUUCAAGUUCCCUCUCUGUAAAACAAGGGUGGUUUUAUGUAUCUGAUGAGGUUGUGUGAGGACUGUGUGACAUGAGUGAAUUUAAAUGCCAGCAAAGUCCCUGCAGUAGAGGCUUCUCAAUAAAGGUAGUUAUGCUGAUUACAAGUGAGAGUCCGCCAGCUGAGAGGUGCCUUCGCUCUGUGGCUGAGUUUUGUUAUAACCCGGACACCUGGGCCCACCUUGGGUAGGCAUAGGGCAUGCUAUGUUGAGUCCAUUUUUAUUAGCUCUUGGCUUAUUAGGAUUAAUAACCUGCUACUUGCCACUCUAUGGAGAUUUCAGACUUCUUUCCUUAGCUUGUUUUCAGAACCUGACAGCUGCACUCACAUCACCCUUUCCUCAGCACCUGCAGGCAUUUAUACUGUGUCUCUCAUUUCCUGCUGGAGGGUCUG